AAGCUGCUUCCUCUUGUCUGGUUCCUCUUUCACUGGGAGAAGAGUCCGACGCCCAAACCUGGCUCCACCCUCCUCUCAGGGAGGUGUAGAGAGCAAGGUGGUCUUCCUUCAGCUUCCUUUCCUCCAGGUUUUAUGCUGCCAGAAAAGUACUGGGUCACUCCUAAGAAUCACAUUUGUGGCUUUUAAGGACAGAAGGUGACAACCCCAUCCCUCCCACCAGCAGCCGUAGCAGGAAAAACCCUGUGGCUGCUUCCUCCUCCAGCACAGUCAGGUGCCAGCAGACACAGCCCUACACUUGUGUAGACAAGUACUGCAGAUGUAUAACAACCUUGCAGCAAUAAUUAAUAACCUUGUGAGGAAGGGUGCUCAGGGCCCCCUCAGGCAGCACACAGCCUGCAGUGGAAUGGGUUACAACAAGGGAAGCCACGAGGCUCCUCAUCUUUCUGCCAUGGCUGUGCUUUAGGGAACAGAAUAACGUCCUGAAUAAAGAAAGUGGGAAUGUGGAGUAGGUGCAAGACCCCAGACAAGAGGUGAAGACUUCUUUCUUCUGGAAUGAAAAAUUUCAAGGAAAUAUCUUCCAGUUUGGUCAAAAGUAUCUGCCAUGUGUGCAAAGGAUUUGAAACAGAGUCAUCAUCCCAGGAGGAAGUUGUCAUGUUGUGAUGCAGCUCUGUGAGUGGACCUGUCUUUGAUGGCUGUGGUGUCUUAUCUCCCGUGAGUUAGCAUCAGAUGAAGCUUGCUGACAGCAUAAUGGCAGGGAAAACCUCCGACGGCUCCAUCAAAUGGCAGCUCUGCUACGACAUCUCGGCCAGAACUUGGUGGAUGGUGAGUUGGCAGCAGGGCUGCUUUUUUUUUUCUCCCUUUUCUACUUUCCCUCCCUCUUUGACAAAAUGUCCCAGACCUCACAUUUAUCAAAUUAACAUUUGAUUUUUUUCACACUCUUCAGUAGAGCAGCCUCACACUUGCCCCACUUGUGUGCUUUCCCCU
This is a long non-coding RNA of Lepidothrix coronata (blue-crowned manakin), 984 nucleotides long. RefSeq lists it as uncharacterized. Lineage: Eukaryota; Metazoa; Chordata; Aves; Passeriformes; Pipridae. The record is from RefSeq and is a predicted model, not a curated record. The transcript has 4 exons.